Molecule: unclassified non-coding RNA, 285 nt
Filed under: plant metagenome
Description: partial contains small subunit ribosomal RNA, internal transcribed spacer 1, and 5.8S ribosomal RNA
Rfam family: Eukaryotic small subunit ribosomal RNA (bases 1-53)
Source: RNAcentral
GGAAGUAAAAGCGUAACAAGGUUUCCGUAGGUGAACCUGCGGAAGGAUCAUUAUUGUAUAACCGAGGUGCGAGGGCUGUCGCUGACCCGAAAGGUCGUGCACGCCCGAGUGCCCUCACACACAUCCAUCUCACCCCUAUGUGCACCACCGCGUGGGUCCCCCUUUGGCUUGUUCGGAGGGGGGCUUACGUUUUCACACAAACUUUGUAUGCAGUGUAGAAUGUAUUUUUUGUUUUUUGCGAUCACGCAAUCAAUACAACUUUCAACAACGGAUCUCUUGGCUCUC